AGUGAACGCUGGCGGUAGGCCUAACACAUGCAAGUCGAACGGCAGCACAGUAAGAGCUUGCUCUUACGGGUGGCGAGUGGCGGGCGGGUGAGGAAUACAUCGGAAUCUACUUUUUCGUGGGGGAUAACGUAGGGAAACUUACGCUAAUACCGCAUACGACCUACGGGUGAAAGCAGGGGAUCUUCGGACCUUGCGCGAUUGAAUGAGCCGAUGUCGGAUUAGCUAGUUGGCGGGGUAAAGGCCCACCAAGGCGACGAUCCGUAGCUGGUCUGAGAGGAGGAUCGGCCACACUGGAACUGAGACACGGUCCAGACUCCUACGGGAGGCAGCAGUGGGGAAUAUUGGACAAUGGGCGCAAGCCUGAUCCAGCCAUACCGCGUGGGUGAAGAAGGCCUUCGGGUUGUAAAGCCCUUUUGUUGGGAAAGAAAAGCAGCAGGUUAAUACCCCGCUGUUCUGACGGUACCCAAAGAAUAAGCACCGGCUAACUUCGUG
This 492-nucleotide ribosomal RNA is filed under the name uncultured bacterium. RNAcentral's name for it is "partial 16S ribosomal RNA". It matches the Rfam family "Bacterial small subunit ribosomal RNA", at positions 29 to 507 of the family's 1533-position model. The record is from RNAcentral.